Molecule: RNA transcript, 2823 nt
Organism: Pan troglodytes (chimpanzee)
Lineage: Eukaryota; Metazoa; Chordata; Mammalia; Primates; Hominidae
Gene: NGLY1
Gene name: N-glycanase 1
Exons: 13
Source: RefSeq, a predicted model, not a curated record
GGCGCCUGCUCAGUGUGGGACGCGGAGCGCGAGGGGCGGCGGCGGCGGCCGCUGGCGCUCAAGCAUGGCGGCGGCAGCAUUGGGCAGCUCCUCAGGCUCGGCGUCCCCGGCCGUGGCUGAGCUCUGCCAGAACACCCCGGAGACCUUUUUGGAGGCCUCCAAGCUGCUGCUCACCUAUGCUGACAACAUCCUCAGGUGCAGGGCAACGGGGUCGGACGGCGGGUACCGGGGUGGGUGGGCCGCGGCGCCUUGUUCGGCCAGGGACUGGGUGUCCGGCCUGAGCUUCAGAGGGCAGCGACGCCCGGACAGACCGGGACCUGGAGCUGGUUCUGCUCCUAACGUCCGAGCCCGCCGGCCAGGGGCCUCGGGACCCGGCCAAGUCCCACCCCCGCUCGAGAAAAGGAAGUUUCUUUGCAGUAGUGACUUGGCACCUGCAGUCAGGGUGCUGCGGGUGAACUGGAGUCCCGGAAGCGGGGCCGGGCGGAGGAGAGGUAGGAAGGCGUGCUUCAGACAUUGCCGCUCUUCUCGUCGUUUAGCGGCCUCAGAUAUCAGGACACAACGAAACCCUAAUGAUGAAAAAUAUAGAUCCAUCCGGAUUGGAAACACAGCCUUUUCUACUAGACUCUUGCCUGUCAGAGGAGCUGUUGAAUGUUUAUUUGAAAUGGGUUUUGAAGAGGGAGAAACACAUCUCAUCUUUCCUAAAAAAGCUUCAGUGGAGCAGCUGCAAAAAAUUCGUGACCUGAUUGCCAUAGAGAGAAGUAGCAGACUGGAUGGCUCAAAUAAGAGCCACAAAGUAAAGUCAUCUCAGCAACCUGCAGCCAGUACCCAGCUUCCUACAACACCAUCUUCAAAUCCCAGUGGGUUAAACCAGCACACAAGGAACCGUCAAGGGCAGUCAUCAGAUCCACCAUCUGCUUCAACGGUUACUGCUGAUUCAGCCAUUCUAGAAGUUCUUCAGUCCAACAUUCAGCAUGUGCUGGUCUAUGAAAAUCCUGCUCUUCAGGAGAAAGCGUUGGCUUGUAUUCCAGUCCAAGAACUAAAAAGGAAAUCACAAGAAAAGUUAUCAAGAGCUAGAAAAUUGGAUAAAGGUAUCAAUAUAAGUGAUGAGGAUUUUCUUUUGCUGGAGCUUUUGCACUGGUUUAAGGAAGAAUUUUUUCACUGGGUGAAUAACGUUUUGUGCAGCAAAUGUGGUGGACAGACUAGGUCUAGAGAUAGAUCAUUACUGCCCAGUGAUGAUGAGCUGAAGUGGGGUGCAAAGGAAGUGGAAGAUCAUUACUGUGAUGCCUGCCAGUUCAGCAAUCGAUUCCCAAGAUAUAAUAACCCUGAGAAACUUUUGGAAACAAGAUGUGGACGGUGUGGCGAGUGGGCCAAUUGUUUUACACUGUGCUGCCGAGCUGUAGGGUUUGAAGCUCGCUAUGUUUGGGAUUACACAGACCAUGUCUGGACAGAAGUCUAUUCUCCUUCUCAGCAGCGGUGGCUGCACUGUGAUGCAUGUGAAGAUGUCUGUGACAAGCCACUCCUUUAUGAAAUAGGAUGGGGCAAGAAGCUUUCCUAUGUCAUAGCAUUUUCAAAAGAUGAGAUAGUUGAUGUCACUUGGCGAUAUUCCUGCAAACAUGAAGAGGUGAUUGCCAGAAGAACUAAGGUUAAAGAAGCGUUACUUCGAGACACUAUUAAUGGACUUAAUAAGCAGAGGCAACUGUUUUUGUCAGAAAACAGAAGGAAAGAACUUCUCCAGAGGAUAAUUGUGGAGCUUGUUGAAUUUAUAUCUCCCAAAACCCCUAAACCUGGAGAACUUGGGGGAAGAAUAUCUGGGUCAGUGGCUUGGAGAGUAGCCCGAGGUGAAAUGGGUCUACAGAGAAAAGAAAUCUCGUUUAUUCCCUGUGAAAAUGAGAAGAUUUCUAAACAGCUCCACCUUUGUUACAAUAUUGUGAAAGAUCGUUAUGUUCGAGUUUCAAAUAACAAUCAAACCAUUUCUGGAUGGGAGAAUGGUGUGUGGAAAAUGGAAUCUAUAUUCAGAAAAGUUGAAACAGACUGGCACAUGAUAUCCCCCUUUGCUAGCCAUUCCUUUAAAGGAGCAGUUAACCUGUGUGUAACCCAGAUGCCUAAUAGUUUAGGAUGGGUGAAACUAAUGACUCCCGGGGAACACUGGUGGAGUCCUGAGUCCCACAUCCUCCUUACAAGCAGCUGUAAGAGGAGCAUGCAGUAGGAACAUAUAUGAACACCGGAGGAUGUUAUAGUGGCGUUGUCCAAACUUGAGUGGAGCAAUUGACAGUUCCACAUCUAGGUAUAUUUGGCCCGAAAGGAAGGAUCAUCUUUUGCUUACAUUUCCUGGAAGUUUGAGUGUGGGUCGGUUGGCCUAAAAGUAGAUAGCAUUUCUAUUAGAACAAGUAGUCAAACUUUUCAGACUGGAACAAUAGAAUGGAAAUUGCGAUCUGAUACAGCACGAGUAGAACUGACAGGCGAUAACAGUCUUCACUCCUAUGCUGAUUUUUCUGGUGCCACUGAAGUUAUUUUGGAAGCAGAAUUAAGCAGAGGAGAUGGUGAUGUCGCUUGGCAACACACCCAGCUGUUUAGACAAAGCUUAAAUGACCAUGAAGAAAAUUGUUUGGAGAUAAUUAUAAAAUUCAGUGACCUUUGAGAACCUGAACAUUAUAGAAAAGCUGGCAAUAAUCAAGGACUUACUCAAGUAGUCUGUUGGUUCAGUGCAUGCUUAGUUGGCAGUUACCACCCUGUGCUAGCAUAUUUCUUUUGCUAGCUAUCCAUCAUGUAACCCUCAUGAAAAUUAUCUUUAUACGUGGACUAUAAUAAAAUAUUGAAUUAAAA